AGAGUUUGAUCCUGGCUCAGAUUGAACGCUGGCGGCAGGCCUAACACAUGCAAGUCGAGCGGUAGAGAGAAGCUUGCUUCUCUUGAGAGCGGCGGACGGGUGAGUAAUGCCUAGGAAUCUGCCUGGUAGUGGGGGAUAACGCUCGGAAACGGACGCUAAUACCGCAUACGUCCUACGGGAGAAAGCAGGGGACCUUCGGGCCUUGCGCUAUCAGAUGAGCCUAGGUCGGAUUAGCUAGUUGGUGAGGUAAUGGCUCACCAAGGCGACGAUCCGUAACUGGUCUGAGAGGAUGAUCAGUCACACUGGAACUGAGACACGGUCCAGACUCCUACGGGAGGCAGCAGUGGGGAAUAUUGGACAAUGGGCGAAAGCCUGAUCCAGCCAUGCCGCGUGUGUGAAGAAGGUCUUCGGAUUGUAAAGCACUUUAAGUUGGGAGGAAGGGCAGUAAAUUAAUACUUUGCUGUUUUGACGUUACCGACAGAAUAAGCACCGGGCUAACUCUUGUGCCAGCAGCCGCGGUAAUACAGAGGGUGCAAGCGUUAAUCGGAAUUACUGGGCGUAAAGCGCGCGUAGGUGGUUCGUUAAGUUGGAUGUGAAAUCCCCGGGCUCAACCUGGGAACUGCAUUCAAAACUGUCGAGCUAGAGUAUGGUAGAGGGUGGUGGAAUUUCCUGUGUAGCGGUGAAAUGCGUAGAUAUAGGAAGGAACACCAGUGGCGAAGGCGACCACCUGGACUGAUACUGACACUGAGGUGCGAAAGCGUGGGGAGCAAACAGGAUUAGAUACCCUGGUAGUCCACGCCGUAAACGAUGUCAACUAGCCGUUGGGAGCCUUGAGCUCUUAGUGGCGCAGCUAACGCAUUAAGUUGACCGCCUGGGGAAUACGGCCGCAAGGUUAAAACUCAAAUGAAUUGACGGGGGCCCGCCACAAGCCGUGGGAGCAUGGGGUUUAAUUCGAAAGCAACGCGAAGAACCUUACCAGGCCCUUGACAUCCAAUGAACUUUCCAGAGAUGGAUUGGUGCCUUCGGGAACAUUAGAGAACAGGUGCUUGGCAUGGCUGUCGUCCAGCCUCGUGUCGUGAGAUGUUGGGUUAAGUCCCGUAACGAGCGCAACCCUUGUCCUUAGUUACCAGCACGUAAUGGUGGGCACUCUAAGGAGACUGCCGGUGACAAACCGGAGGAAGGUGGGGAUGACGUCAAGUCAUCAUGGCCCUUACGGCCUGGGCUACACACGUGCUACAAUGGUCGGUACAGAGGGUUGCCAAGCCGCGAGGUGGAGCUAAUCCCAGAAAACCGAUCGUAGUCCGGAUCGCAGUCUGCAACUCGACUGCGUGAAGUCGGAAUCGCUAGUAAUCGCGAAUCAGAAUGUCGCGGUGAAUACGUUCCCGGGCCUUGUACACACCGCCCGUCACACCAUGGGAGUGGGUUGCACCAGAAGUAGCUAGUCUAACCUUCGGGAGGACGGUUACCACGGUGUGAUUCAUGACUGGGGUGAAGUCGUAACAAGGUAGCCGUAGGGGAACCUGCGGCUGGAUCACCUCCUU
This 1541-nucleotide ribosomal RNA is filed under the name Pseudomonas corrugata. RNAcentral's name for it is "bacterial SSU rRNA". It matches the Rfam family "Bacterial small subunit ribosomal RNA". Lineage: Bacteria; Pseudomonadati; Pseudomonadota; Gammaproteobacteria; Pseudomonadales; Pseudomonadaceae. The record is from RNAcentral.